Molecule: non-coding RNA, 73 nt
Organism: Candidatus Pacearchaeota archaeon RBG_16_35_8
Lineage: Archaea; Nanobdellati
Source: Rfam
AGCCCUGUAGUACAGUGGUCAAGUAUGAAGGCCUCUGGCGCCUUAGACCCAGGUUCGAAUCCUGGCAGGGCUA